RNAcentral lists this ribosomal RNA (449 nucleotides) under uncultured bacterium. RNAcentral describes it as "partial 16S ribosomal RNA". It matches the Rfam family "Bacterial small subunit ribosomal RNA", at positions 354 to 796 of the family's 1533-position model. The record is from RNAcentral.
GUCGAGAAUCUUUCACAAUGGGGGCAACCCUGAUGGAGCGACGCCGCGUGGAGGAUACGGUCUUCGGAUUGUAAACUCCUGUCAUGCGUGAACAAGGUUGCUUGGUUAAUACCUGGGCAAAUUGAUGGUAACGCAAGAGGAAGAGACGGCUAACUCUGUGCCAGCAGCCGCGGUAAUACAGAGGUCUCAAGCGUUGUUCGGAAUCACUGGGCGUAAAGGGUGCGUAGGUGGCGUGGUAAGUCAGAUGUGAAAGCCCGGGGCUCAACCUCGGAACUGCAGCCGAUACUGCCAUGCUAGAGUACUGGAGAGGUGACUAGAAUUCUCGGUGUAGCAGUGAAAUGCGUAGAUAUCGAGAGGAAUACCAAAGGCGUAGGCAGGUCACUGGACAGUUACUGACACUGAGGCACGAAGGCCAGGGGAGCGAACGGGAUUAGAAACCCCGGUAGUCC